ACUGAACGCUGGCGGCAGGCCUAACACAUGCAAGUCGAGCGGACGAACGGAGCUCGCUCUUCUCUUCAGCUGCGGACGGGCGAGUAAUGCCUAGGAAUAUGCCCGGCCGUUGGGGAUAACGUCCCGUAACGGGCGCUAAUAUCGCACACGACCUGAGGUAGAAAGUGGGGGAUCUUCGGACCUCACGCGAUUUGCUGAGCCUGGGUCGGAUUAGCUAGUUGGUAGGGUAAAGGGUUACCAAGGCGACGAUCCGUAACUGCUCUGAGAGGGUGAUCAGUCACACUGGAACUGAGACACGGUCCAGACUCCUACGGGAGGCAGCAGUAGGGAAUAUUGGACAAUGGGCGAAAGCCUGAUCCAGCAAUGCCGCGUGAGUGAAGAAGGUCUUCGGAUUGUAAAGCUCUUUAAGUAGGGAGGAAGGGCAGUAUGUGAAUACAUUGCUGUCUUGACGGUACCAACAGAGAAAGCACCGGCUAACUACGUG
Molecule: ribosomal RNA, 484 nt
Filed under: uncultured bacterium
Lineage: Bacteria
Description: partial 16S ribosomal RNA
Rfam family: Bacterial small subunit ribosomal RNA
Source: RNAcentral